RNAcentral lists this ribosomal RNA (253 nucleotides) under uncultured bacterium. RNAcentral's name for it is "partial 16S ribosomal RNA". It matches the Rfam family "Bacterial small subunit ribosomal RNA", at positions 524 to 776 of the family's 1533-position model. The record is from RNAcentral.
UACGGAGGGUGCAAGCGUUAUUCGGAAUUACUGGGCGUAAAGGGCGCGUAGGCGGAUUUUUAAGUCUGUUGUGAAAGAUCAGGGCUCAACCCUGAGAGUGCAUCGGAAACUGGAGAUCUUGAGGACAGGAGAGGAAAGUGGAAUUCCACGUGUAGCGGUGAAAUGCGUAGAUAUGUGGAGGAACACCAGUGGCGAAGGCGACUUUCUGGACUGUAACUGACGCUGAGGCGCGAAAGCGUGGGGAGCAAACAGG